RNAcentral lists this ribosomal RNA (484 nucleotides) under uncultured bacterium. RNAcentral describes it as "partial 16S ribosomal RNA". It matches the Rfam family "Bacterial small subunit ribosomal RNA", at positions 30 to 507 of the family's 1533-position model. The record is from RNAcentral.
AUUGAACGCUGGCGGCAGGCCUAACACAUGCAAGUCGAGCGGAUGAAGGGAGCUUGCUCCUGGCUUCAGCGGCGGACGGGUGAGUAAUGCCUAGGAAUCUGCCUGGUAGUGGGGGAUAACGUCCGGAAACGGGCGCUAAUACCGCAUACGUCCUGAGGUAGAAAGUGGGGGAUCUUCGGACCUCACGCUAUCAGAUGAGCCUAGGUCGGAUUAGCUAGUUGGUGGGGUAAAGGCCUACCAAGGCGACGAUCCGUAACUGGUCUGAGAGGAUGAUCAGUCACACUGGAACUGAGACACGGUCCAGACUCCUACGGGAGGCAGCAGUGGGGAAUAUUGGACGAUGGGCGAAAGCCUGAUCCAGCCAUGCCGCGUGUGUGAAGAAGGUCUUCGGAUUGUAAAGCACUUUAAGUUGGGAGGAAGGGCAGUAAGUUAAUCCCUUGCUGUUUUGACGGUACCAACAGAAUAAGCACCGGCUAACUUCGUG